Molecule: small nuclear RNA, 113 nt
Filed under: Pteropus vampyrus (large flying fox)
Lineage: Eukaryota; Metazoa; Chordata; Mammalia; Chiroptera; Pteropodidae
Source: RNAcentral
GUGCUUACUUGGGCAGCACAUAUACUAAAAUUGGAACGAUACAGAGAAGGUUAAGGUUAGCAUGGCCCCUGCACAAGGAUGACACACAAAUUCAUGAAGCAUUCCAUAUUUUU